CAGCCAGGAUGUUGGCUUAGAAGCAGCCAUCAUUUAAAGAAAGCGUAAUAGCUCACUGGUCGAGUCGGCCUGCGCGGAAGAUGUAACGGGGCUAAACCAUGCACCGAAGCUGCGGCAGCGAACGUAUCACUUAAAGCGAUUCAGCGGGUUACGAUUGACGGAGCGAAGCGACGUCAAAGCGUAUACAAAGUCGAGUCGGUUUAAGGAUACGUUCGUUGGGUAGGGGAGCGUUCUGUAAGCCUGUGAAGGUGUGUCGUGAGGCAUGCUGGAGGUAUCAGAAGUGCGAAUGCUGACAUAAGUAACGAUAAAGCGGGUGAAAAGCCCGCUCGCCGGAAGACCAAGGGUUCCUGUCCAACGUUAAUCGGGGCAGGGUGAGUCGACCCC
RNAcentral lists this ribosomal RNA (384 nucleotides) under Salmonella enterica subsp. enterica serovar Infantis. RNAcentral's name for it is "bacterial LSU rRNA". It matches the Rfam family "Bacterial large subunit ribosomal RNA", at positions 1090 to 1391 of the family's 2925-position model. The record is from RNAcentral. Lineage: Bacteria; Pseudomonadati; Pseudomonadota; Gammaproteobacteria; Enterobacterales; Enterobacteriaceae.